RNAcentral lists this ribosomal RNA (305 nucleotides) under Bacillus licheniformis. RNAcentral's name for it is "bacterial SSU rRNA". It matches the Rfam family "Bacterial small subunit ribosomal RNA", at positions 1193 to 1501 of the family's 1533-position model. Lineage: Bacteria; Bacillati; Bacillota; Bacilli; Caryophanales; Bacillaceae. The record is from RNAcentral.
CCGCUGCCCUUUGACUGGGCUCACACGUGCUACAUGGGCAGAACAAAGGGCAGCGAAGCCGCGAGGCUAAGCCAAUCCCACAAAUCUGUUCUCAGUUCGGAUCGCAGUCUGCAACUCGACUGCGUGAAGCUGGAAUCGCUAGUAAUCGCGGAUCAGCAUGCCGCGGUGAAUACGUUCCCGGGCCUUGUACACACCGCCCGUCACACCACGAGAGUUUGUAACACCCGAAGUCGGUGAGGUAACCUUUUGGAGCCAGCCGCCGAAGGUGGGACAGAUGAUUGGGGUGAAGUCGUAACAAGGUAACC